CCCUUAGAUGUUCUGGGCCGCACGCGCGCUACACUGUUCGACGCAGCGAGUCUUAACCUUGACCGAAAGGUUUGGGUAAUCUUCAGCAAAGUCGAACGUGAUGAGGAUCGAUCAUUGCAAUUAUUGAUCGUGAACGAGGAAUUCCUAGUAAGUGCAAGUCAUCAGCUUGCGCUGAUUACGUCCCUGCCCUUUGUACACACCGCCCGUCGCUCCUACUGAUUGGGUGAUCCGGUGAGCUGUUCGGCCAUAGCAAUGUUUCUUGAGCAGGGCAAUGAAUGUUUCGCAAACCUUGCCACUUAGAGGAAGGAGAAGUCGUAACA
This 320-nucleotide ribosomal RNA is filed under the name uncultured eukaryote. Its description in RNAcentral is "partial 18S ribosomal RNA". It matches the Rfam family "Eukaryotic small subunit ribosomal RNA", at positions 1470 to 1796 of the family's 1831-position model. The record is from RNAcentral.